GGCCUAACACAUGCAAGUCGAACGCGAAAGGGGCUUCGGCCCUGAGUAGAGUGGCGAACGGGUGAGUAACACGUGGGUGAUCUACCUCUGAGUGGGGGAUAACCUUCCGAAAGGAGGGCUAAUACCGCAUGACGUUCCGGGUUUGAAGACCGGGAAACCAAAGUCGGGGACCGCAAGGCCUGAUGCUUGGAGAGGAGCCCGCGCCUGAUUAGCUAGUUGGUGGGGUAACGGCUCACCAAGGCGACGAUCAGUAGCCGGCCUGAGAGGGCGGACGGCCACACUGGGACUGAGACACGGCCCAGACUCCUACGGGAGGCAGCAGUGGGGAAUUGUUCGCAAUGGGCGCAAGCCUGACGACGCAACGCCGCGUGGAGGAUGAAGAUUUUCGGAUCGUAAACUCCUGUCGAAUGGGACGAAUAGAUUGCGGGUUAACAGCCUGUAGUCCUGACGGUACCGUUAAAGGAAACCCCGGCUAACUCCGUGCCAGCAGCCGCGGUAAUACGGGGGGGGUAAGCGUUGUUCGGAAUUACUGGGCGUAAAGGGCUCGUAGGCGGCCAACUAAGUCAUACGUGAAAUCCCUCAGCUUAACUGGGGAACUGCGUGUGAUACUGGAUGGCUUGGAUUUGGGAGAGGGAUGCGGAAUUCCAGGUGUAGCGGUGAAAUGCGUAGAUAUCUGGAGGAACACCGGUGGCGAAGGCGGCAUCCUGGACCAAUAUUGACGCUGAAGAGCGAAAGCCAGGGGAGCAAACGGGAUUA
RNAcentral lists this ribosomal RNA (756 nucleotides) under uncultured bacterium. Its description in RNAcentral is "bacterial SSU rRNA". It matches the Rfam family "Bacterial small subunit ribosomal RNA", at positions 45 to 780 of the family's 1533-position model. The record is from RNAcentral.